RNAcentral lists this long non-coding RNA (1220 nucleotides) under Salmo salar (Atlantic salmon). RNAcentral describes it as "lncRNA (ENSSSAG00000104008.1)". The record is from RNAcentral. Lineage: Eukaryota; Metazoa; Chordata; Actinopteri; Salmoniformes; Salmonidae.
ACACUUACUCUUGUGUUACUGACUUGUUACACCCUCGACAACUACUGUGAUUAUUAUUAUUUGACCCUGCUGGUCAUUUAUGAACAUUUGAACAUCUUGGCCAUGUUCUGUUAUAAUCUCCACCCGGCACAGCCAGAAGAGGACUGGCCACCCCUCAUAGCCUGGUUCCUCUCUAGGUUUCUUCCUAGGUUUUGGCCUUUCUAGGGAGUUUUUCCUAGCCACCCCUCAUAGCCUGGUUCCUCUCUAGGUUUCUUCCUAGGUUUUGGACUUUCUAGGGAGUUUUUCCUAGCCACCGUGCUUCUACACCUGCAUUGCUUGCCGUUUGAGGCUGGGUUUCUGUACAGCACUUUGAGAUAUCAGCUGACGUAAGAAGGGCUAUAUAAAUACAUUUGAUUUGAUAGAAAAUUCAAUUUAUUUAAACAUUUUAGCUGGCAAUUUCAUUUAACAGAAGGCAUGAAGGUGUCUGUAAUAUAAUAAACAUGACAAAAACAAAUAGUCAUUAAUGCAUUUCUACAGCUUUCAAAAUAAAAUGACUACAGCGGGGGAGAGCCAAGAUGGAGGUGCGGUGGCCUCAAAACAGCCCCCUUGGUAGUCAUCUAGUGUGUAUAUAUAUAUAAACAUCUCUGGUUGAGUCUCAUAACAGCAGAACCAUUUCAUGUUGUCGUAGGGUUGAGUCUCUCUUGCGACGUAAUGAAAAGUGUAACAAUCUUUAGUAUUAUGUUUCUGCCUUGUUUGUUCUUCAUGCAGAAAUCAUAUUACAUCCAUUGUUAUUCAUUGCAAACCAAUCAUCCAGAAAUGGAAAACAUAGCACUGUGAAUUAACCAACAGUAUUUAUUAGGGUAACAUGUAAAGGCUUUAUGGGUUGUCAUUCCACCUUUCCUUACUGAAUUACCAUUAGAAUAAAUUGUUCCCACUGAAUAACUAGUGUUUAUUCACAAGCACAAGACUGUUCAUCCUUAAACUUGGUUUUUUCCUUUGAGAAAAACCCCAAAUGAGCAAAACCCAGAAUCCCCCCCCCCCACAAAAAACAAACGAUUUUCUGUUAACAAAGAAUUGGAUAUUACUAGAACCAAGGGACAGGGGGGGCGAACCAAGGGACAGGGGGGGCGAACCAAGGGACAGGGGGGGAGCGAACCAAGGGACAGGGGGGCGAACCAAGGGACAGGGGGGGGGGGCGAACCAAGGGACAGGGGGGGGGCCAACCAAGGGACAGGGGGGGG